GGAGUCUGGUCCGUGUCUCAGUACCAGUGUGGGGGAUAAGCCUCUCAGCUCCCCUAGACAUCGUCGGCUUGGUGGGCCGUUGCCCCGCCAACUACCUAAUGUCACGCAUGCCCAUCCACUACCACCGAAGCUUUAGUUGUCUCCCCAUGCGGGAAAACAACACCAUGGGAUAUUAGUGGAAGUUUCCCUCCGUUAUCCCCCUGUAGUGGGUAGGUUGCAUACGCGUUACGCACCCGUGCGCCGGUCGCCAUCAAAGGAAGCAAGCUUCCUUCAUGCUGCCCCACGACUUGCAUGUGUUAAGCCUGUAGCUAGCGUUCAUC
RNAcentral lists this ribosomal RNA (320 nucleotides) under uncultured Bacteroidales bacterium. RNAcentral describes it as "partial 16S ribosomal RNA". Lineage: Bacteria; Pseudomonadati; Bacteroidota; Bacteroidia; Bacteroidales. The record is from RNAcentral.